Lathyrus oleraceus (garden pea) is the source of this 2486-nucleotide RNA transcript. It is a transcript of the gene named pentatricopeptide repeat-containing protein At1g08610, with no coding region annotated. The record is from RefSeq and is a predicted model, not a curated record. The transcript is spliced from 4 exons. NCBI's taxonomy places the organism in Eukaryota, Viridiplantae, Streptophyta, Magnoliopsida, Fabales, Fabaceae.
AUAAUUGAGCAGUUCCACUAAAAAAUGCCGUUUUGCCCUUGUACCAUAAACAAGUUAGAGUCUCGCUGAACUCAACGCAGCGUGGGAGUUGUUCGUCGUCGGCCAUUAACAUUGAGAGAGAGUUCGUCCAGCUUGAGAGAUUCCAAUCUGUAGUGUAGACAUCAAUGAUAAAUAUGAGUUACACAAUUUCUUUUCAAACUAAGAGUUUCAACUUUCACUCUUGGAAUGAUCUGCAUGAUCUUAACGAUCAAGGGAGUUGUGUUUCUGGCGUGACUUCUGAUUUUAGCUCAAGGAAAAAAAUGUCUAAAUUGCACCAAAUUUCUCUACGUGAUUGUUUUUCUAGUAAUAGAUGUUGCUCGUCUUGGAAAGGAUUGCGGUGUAGAAGUUUAUAUGCUACCGUUUUAAGUGAUAGAGAAGAUGAAGUUGACCAUGAGGUUUCCGGCUUUGAGAGUUAUACUGGCGAAAGGAGAAAAUCUAGUGAACGAGUGGAAUUAGUCGAGUUUCUCAACUCUUCAACUUUGUCAUUAGAUGAACCAUAUGUUAAAAAUGAUGAGACUGUCAACAAUAAGACUCUUCAGACGCUUUGCACUAAUGGAAAGAUAACGGCUGCAGCAACAUUGAUUGAUAUUAUGGCAGGUAUAAGUCAAAUACCUCGUUUUCCUUCUUGCACGAAUUUGAUACGAGGUUUUAUCCAUACUGGUCGGGUAGACAAAGCUUGCAGAAUCAUGAAUAUAAUGGUUAUGUCUGGUGGUGUUCCUGAUACGAUUACAUUCAACAUGGUUAUUGGAGGUCUUUGUAAAAAAGGUAAUUUAAAAUCUGCUCUUGAAUUGCUUGAAGAUUUGAGCUUGAGUGGAUGCUCCCCAGAUGCAAUUACUUAUAAUACAAUAAUUGGUUGCAUAUUUGAUAAAGGAGAUUCUAAUUUUGCUGUUAGUUUUUGGAAGGAUCAGUUGAGAAAAGGGUUCCCUCCAUAUUUGAUGACCUAUGAAUUUCUUUUUGAGCUGGUUUGUAGACAUUGUGGGACUUCUCAAGCCCUUGAAGUAUUAGAAGAUAUGGCAAGGGAAUGUUGCUAUCCCAAUAUCAAUAUGUACAAUUUUCUUGUAAAAUUAAGUUCUAAUCGGAGGAAUUAUAAAGAUACUGCUUUGGUUAUUUCCAAUCUUUUAUCCCGUGGGUUGAAACCGGAUGUUGCGACAUACAAUAACCUUAUGCGCUCUCUUAGUCGCCAUGGGCAUUCAGACGCAAUUGAUGAUAUUUUGAAGAUUAUGAAUGAGACUUCCAUUCCACCUUCACUUGCUACUUACAAUAUUCUGUUGACUAGUUCAUGCAGAUCUGGAUUUCUGGAUCGUUCUAUAAGCUUAUAUCUCAAAAUGGUUUCUGAGAACUGUUCGCCGGACAUUGUUACUUACAAUACUCUUCUAAAGGCUUUAUGUAAAGAAGGAUAUAUAGACGAGAGUGUUCAAUUACUUCGCUGUUUGUCCGGUACUAACUGUUCUCCUGGAUUGGCCACUUAUAAAAUAGUAAUUGAUGGGUUGGCUAGAAUGAGAUCUACAAAAUCAGCAAAAGAAAUGUAUGGGGAAAUGGUGGAAAAAGGAAUUGAACCAGAUGGUAUUACCCACCGUAUUUUGAUAAGGGCUCUGUGCCGGGUAUAUCGAUUUGAAGAUGCGGUGGAGCUAUUGAAAGUGAUGUAUAGAAAAAGACAAACGAUUGAAAAUGAUAUGUAUAGAUGUGUUAUCAUAGGAUUAUGUAAGCAAAAGAAGCUUGAUAUUGUGAUUCAAGCUCUAGAAUUGAUGGUGAAAUGUCCAUGCAAGCCAGAUGGAAGAUUGUAUUAUUUUUUAAUUAAGUCUCUUGCUUAUGAGGGUAUGGUAAAAGAGGCUAAUGCUUUGUAUCAGAAAUUGAUCGAAUGGAGAUUCUUAAAGAGGACUUGUUUGAUUUAGUUGGAGUUCACACAUAGAUGGGCCAAAUCCAAUACUUCUUCUAGCCAUGUACUAAUUAUAUCAGAAAUGUUGUCUUGUAACGAAAGUUACCUCUUGGCUCCUACCUUGUUCUGGUUUCUUCCAAGUGGAAAGGUCGAUUAGGUACUCAAUUAGGUAUUGUAAUUUCCAACCACAUCAGCUAAUAUAGAAUCGAGAUGGAGUAAAAUUUUGACAGUGAAGGUUGACAUACUUAGCUUCAUCACUACUCACACACUGGCUAUUUGUAGUGUCAAUUUAAUCUUCUUUAAUCUUCACAUUUGCAGAUUCUUAGAGGACUCCAAUAUUUUAAAUUGCCAUUUUUGUUGGUUUCGGUAGUUUAAGCUCAUCUAUAUUGACUUAUGCUGUUAUUAUGAUUUGUGGAGGUUGAAUAGAAGAAACACAAAUGGAGAUAUUGGUUUAAAAUUUGAACUAUGCUGCUUGUGAUUCAUCUAAUAUAGUAGAAGAUAGAUGCUAAUGCAACAUGUAUUCAUAAAUUCUAAAUAGAUCAUCAAAUAAAGGUUCUAGCAUGCAUAACCA